Molecule: long non-coding RNA, 635 nt
Filed under: Homo sapiens (human)
Lineage: Eukaryota; Metazoa; Chordata; Mammalia; Primates; Hominidae
Description: HSALNT0082187
Source: RNAcentral
AAGGUCUCACUCCUGUCGCCCAGACGAGAGUACAGUGGUGUGAUCUCCACUCAACGCAGCCACCAGAACUUGCUUUGAAAAUGGACACAAUAAAAAAGAAGGAAAUCAUUCCAUUUGCAGCAAUGUGGAUGGAACUGGAGGUCAUUAUGUUAAGUAAAGUAAGCCAAGCACAGAAAGACAAACAUUGCAUGAUCCCACGAAAGAUGAUUUCAUGGCCGUAGAGAGUAUAUGGUGGUUACGAGAGGCUGGGAAGGGUGUGUGUGGGGGGGUGGUGGUGAGGACGAAGAGAGGUUGGUGAAGGGGUACAACCACAGAGUUAGAUAGAAGGAAUGCUUUCUAAUGUUUGACAGAAGAGUAGGGUGACUGCAGUCAACAACAAGGUAUUAUAGUUUUCUAAAUAGCUAGAAAAGGACUUGAAAUGUACUCAACACAUAGAAAUGGUUGGGUGAUGGGUAUGCCAACAUCCUGACUUGAUCAUUACACAUUCUAUGCACAUAACACAAUUUCACAUGUGCCCCACAAAUAUGUACAAAUAGAAUGUAUCAAAAAGUAAAAAAUAAAGGAAGAGAAAGGGCACAGCCCGCCAUGUCCUACAACCCCUUUCUUGCUGUUCCUGAAAUGUCCUCUUUUGUUUU